Long non-coding RNA from Macaca fascicularis (crab-eating macaque), 1561 nucleotides. Lineage: Eukaryota; Metazoa; Chordata; Mammalia; Primates; Cercopithecidae. The record is from Ensembl.
GAGCAUUACAUGCCAUUCUCCUCUUCUCUGAAAUGAACUAGCCAAAAUUUUAAAGAUGCACCUAGUUUCUGCCAUGCCUUUUGUGAAUUUCCCUCCUUUCUUGCUAGUGUAGAUGCUCAGCCCUAUAACAGUAAUCUGAAAGGAAGUAGAAACCCUUCUGUCUUUUCAGGAUGAAUCUUAGUACUUGCUGUUACAAUAAGGUAGACUUGAGGUUCCUCCCCAUGUUGGUGAGGAAAUCUCCCUCCCUCCUUUCUCCUCCUUGCUCCUGACCCAGCAUUUCCUCGAGCAAAAUUAGCAACUACAGCCCCCUAUUUAGAUAGGUGUCCUUGAACCUACAUACAUGCACCCUCCUCCCCAAUUUCUUCUUACUAACAAGCAAUAAAGUGAGGACCAGUGCUUCCAGGAUAACCAUAUGGUUUACUUCCAGCCUCACUAUACAAUUUGGUCAAUAUGUUUAUUACCAAUUCCUGUGGACUUACCUUAAAUUCUGUUAUCAGCUUAUGUGACACUCAUACUUUACCUUUUAGAAGACCUUGUCUCUGUCAAUAACUGAUGUUCACUGCCAAAACAUCUGAGAUAGUUGGAUAUGUGUCCCCGCCUAAAUAUCAUGCUAAAUUGUAAUCACCAGUUUUUGAAGUGGAUCUGGUGGGAGGUGACUGGAUCAUGAGGGUGGGUUUCUCAUGAAUGGUUUAUCACCAUCCUCUUGCUACUGUUCUCAUGGUAGUGAGUUCUCGUGAGAUCUAUUUGUUUCAAAGUGUGUAGCGCCUCUCCCUUCUCGCUCUCUUGCUCCUGUUCUGGCCAUGUGAUGUGCCUCCUCCCCCUUUGUCUUCUGCAUGAUUGUAAGUUUCCUGAAGCCUCCCCAGCAGCCAAGCAAAUGCCAGUAUCACGUUUCCUGUACAGCCUGAAGAAUCAUGAGCCAAUUAAACCUCUAUCUUAAAAUAAACUACCCAGUCUCAGGUAUUUCUUUAUAGCAAUGCAAGAAUGGAACGAUACAACGUCUUACAAGAACUGUGAGGGGUCUAAGAUCUUUACCUAACUUGCAGUAUAACCAGUUAGCCUGCUACAGUUUUAUGGAUGCUGGAAAAGACACAAGACUCCUGGGUGAGACAAAAGACUUUCUCACGGCGGUAACAUUAGACAGACUAUCUGAUUUUUUCCACAGGUUGGAGGAACUCAUGCUCUUACCAGGAGGCAUGAAGGGGUCUAUGUAAUCCCUGCAGAUAUAAUGGGCUUCAAGAGAGGAACUCUACACUUAGAGAAUUUGGUUCUUUUAUAAAAGGAAGCAAGCAUAUGUGUCCUUUGCUCCUGUGGGAGUCAUUAUCUUGUUAGGCUGGGCACCAAGCAAGCCUACUUCCUGUUUCAGAGUGAGAUACUAUGUCUUUCAAGUGUGCUCAUUAGGCAAACAUCCUUGAAAAGACAGUUAAGGGCCCGGUGUGGUGGCUCACGCCUGUAAUCCCAGCUCUCUGGGAGGCUGACUCGGGCAGAUUGCUUGAGCCCAGAAGCUCAAGACCAGCCUGGGCACCAUGGUGAAAGCCUGUCUCUACAAAAAAAAAAAAAAAAA